CCUGUUAAUAAAUCCUGAAAACGAG
RNAcentral lists this non-coding RNA (25 nucleotides) under Cricetulus griseus (Chinese hamster). Lineage: Eukaryota; Metazoa; Chordata; Mammalia; Rodentia; Cricetidae. The record is from RNAcentral.